UGGGGAAUUUUGGACAAUGGGCGCAAGCCUGAUCCAGCAAUGCCGCGUGCAGGAUGACGGCCCUCUGGGUUGUAAACUUCUUUUAUCUGGGACGAAAAAAGAUCAUUCCUGAUCACUUGACGGUACCAGAGGAAUAAGCACCGGCUAACUCCGUGCCAGCAGCCGCGGUAAUACGGAGGGUGCGAGCGUUGUCCGGAUUUAUUGGGUUUAAAGGGUGCGUAGGUGGUUGAGUAAGUCUGGUUUGAAAGUCAGUCGCUUAACGAUUGAGGGUGGCUGGAUACUGCUGAACUUGAAUGCCCUGGAGGUAGGUGGAACGGGUUGUGUAGCGGUGAAAUGCAUAGAUAUGACCCAGAACCCCAAUUGCGAAGGCAGCCUACUACGGGGUGAUUGACACUGAGGCACGAGAGCAUGGGGAGCAAACA
RNAcentral lists this ribosomal RNA (422 nucleotides) under uncultured bacterium. RNAcentral describes it as "bacterial SSU rRNA". It matches the Rfam family "Bacterial small subunit ribosomal RNA", at positions 355 to 774 of the family's 1533-position model. The record is from RNAcentral.